UACAGAGGAUGCAAGCGUUAUCCGGAAUCACUGGGCUUAAAGGGCGCGUAGGCGGGCCCGUUAGUCAGGGGUGAAAUCCCACGGCCCAACCGUGGAAGUGCCUCUGAUACUGCGGGCCUCGAGGGAGGUAGGGGCGUGCGGAACUCAGGGUGGAGCGGUGAAAUGCGUAGAUAUCCUGAGGAACACCGGUGGCGAAAGCGGCGCGCUGGACCUCUUCUGACGCUGAGGCGCGAAAGCCAGGGGAGCAAACGGG
Molecule: ribosomal RNA, 253 nt
Filed under: uncultured bacterium
Lineage: Bacteria
Description: partial 16S ribosomal RNA
Rfam family: Bacterial small subunit ribosomal RNA
Source: RNAcentral